AACGCGAAGAACCUUACCUGGGCUUGACAUGUUCCUGACAACUGUGGAAACACAGUCUCCCUUCGGGGCAGGAUCACAGGUGGUGCAUGGCUGUCGUCAGCUCGUGUCGUGAGAUGUUGGGUUAAGUCCCGCAACGAGCGCAACCCCCGUCGCAUGUUGCCAGCAUUUAGUUGGGGACUCAUGCGAGACUGCCGGUGACAAACCGGAGGAAGGUGGGGAUGACGUCAAGUCAUCAUGCCCCUUAUGUCCAGGGCUACACACGUGCUACAUUGGCGCGUACAGAGGGCUGCGAUACCGCGAGGUGGAGCGAAUCCCUUAAAGCGCGUCUCGGUUCGGAUUGCAGGCUGAAACUCGCCUGCAUGAAGGCGGAGUUGCUAGUAAUCGCGGAUCAGCAUUGCCGCGGUGAAUACGUUCCCGGGCCUUGUA
This 426-nucleotide ribosomal RNA is filed under the name uncultured Actinomycetes bacterium. RNAcentral describes it as "bacterial SSU rRNA". It matches the Rfam family "Bacterial small subunit ribosomal RNA", at positions 958 to 1385 of the family's 1533-position model. Lineage: Bacteria; Bacillati; Actinomycetota; Actinomycetes. The record is from RNAcentral.